This 407-nucleotide ribosomal RNA is filed under the name uncultured bacterium. RNAcentral describes it as "partial 16S ribosomal RNA". It matches the Rfam family "Bacterial small subunit ribosomal RNA", at positions 30 to 526 of the family's 1533-position model. The record is from RNAcentral.
AUUGAACGCUGGCGGCAGGCCUAACACAUGCAAGUCGAGCGGAGCGGCGGACGGGUGAGUAAUGCCUAGGAAUCUGCCUGGUAGUGGGGGAUAACGUCCGGAAACGGGCGCUAAUACCGCAUACUAUCAGAUGAGCCUCGGUUGGAUUAGCUAGGUGGUGGGGGAAAGGCCUACCAAGGCGACGAGCCGUAACGGGUCUGCGAGGAUGAGCGCUAACACUGAAACGGAGACCCGGUCCAGACUCCGACGGGAGGCAGCAGUGGGGAAUAUUGGACAAUGGGCGAAAGCCUGAUCCAGCCAUGCCGCGUGUGUGAAGAAGGUCUUCGGAUUGUAAAGCACUUUAAGUUGGGAGGCGUUACCAACAGAAUAAGCACCGGAUAACUUCGUGCCAGCGGCCGCGGUAAUUC